RNAcentral lists this unclassified non-coding RNA (218 nucleotides) under soil metagenome. RNAcentral describes it as "partial contains 5.8S ribosomal RNA, internal transcribed spacer 2, and large subunit ribosomal RNA". The record is from RNAcentral.
AACGAGGCCGACCUGCGGCUGAGUUACCUGCGGAAGGAUCAUUACAAGUGACCCCGGUUUACCACCGGGAUGUUCAUAACCCUUUGUUGUCCGACUCUGUUGCCUCCGGGGCGACCCUGCCUUCGGGCGGGGGCUCCGGGUGGACACUUCAAACUCUUGCGUAACUUUGCAGUCUGAGUAAACUUAAUUAAUAAAUUAAAACUUUUAACAACGGAUCU